This 253-nucleotide ribosomal RNA is filed under the name uncultured bacterium. RNAcentral's name for it is "partial 16S ribosomal RNA". It matches the Rfam family "Bacterial small subunit ribosomal RNA", at positions 524 to 776 of the family's 1533-position model. The record is from RNAcentral.
UACGUAGGGUGCGAGCGUUAAUCGGAAUUACUGGGCGUAAAGCGUGCGCAGGCGGUUCGUUGUGUCCGGUGUGAAAGCCCCGAGCUUAACUUGGGAAUGGCAUUGGAAACUGGCGAGCUGGAGUGUGGCAGAGGGGGGUGGAAUUCCACGUGUAGCAGUGAAAUGCGCAGAUAUCGGGAAGAACACCCGUGGCGAAGGCGGCUCUCUGGGACGGUACUGACGAUGAGACGCGAAAGAGUGGGGAGCAAAAAGG